CUUAUACUCCCUCCAUUCGAAAAUAUUUGUCGGAGUAAUGAAUGUAUCUAGACAUAUUUUAGUUAUAGAUACAUCCGUUUUUAUGCAUUUCUUCGACAAGUAAUUCCGGACGGAAGGAGUAUUUA
Triticum aestivum (bread wheat) is the source of this 125-nucleotide non-coding RNA. The record is from Rfam. Lineage: Eukaryota; Viridiplantae; Streptophyta; Magnoliopsida; Poales; Poaceae.